CACCACACAAACAGAGCAGGAGGUGGUGUUGUGAAUGUCCCCGUACCCAGCCUCACCACACAAACAGAGCUGGAGGUGGUGUUGUGUCCCCGUACCCAGCCUCACCACACAAACAGAGCUGGAGGUGGUGUUGUGAAUGUCCCCGUACCCAGCCUCACCACACAAACAGAGCUGGAGGUGGUGUUGUGAAUGUCCCCGUACCCAGCCUCACCACACAAACAGAGCUGGAGGUGGUGUUGUGUCCCCGUACCCAGCCUCACCACACAAACAGAGCUGGAGGUGGUGUUGUGAAUGUCCCCGUACCCAGCCUCACCACACAAACAGAGCUGGAGGUGGUGUUGUGUCCCCGUACCCAGCCUCACCACACAAACAGAGCAGGAGGUGGUGUUGUGUCCCCGUACCCAGCCUCACCACACAAACAGAGCUGGAGGUGGUGUUGUGAAUGUCCCCGUACCCAGCCUCACCACACAAACAGAGCAGGAGGUGGUGUUGUGUCCCCGUACCCAGCCUCACCACACAAACAGAGCUGGAGGUGGUGUUGUGAAUGUCCCCGUACCCAGCCUCACCACACAAACAGAGCUGGAGGUGGUGUUGUGUCCCCGUACCCAGCCUCACCACACAAACAGAGCUGGAGGUGGUGUUGUGAAUGUCCCCGUACCCAGCCUCACCACACAAACAGAGCUGGAGGUGGUGUUGUGAAUGUCCCCGUACCCAGCCUCACCACACAAACAGAGCUGGAGGUGGUGUUGUGAAUGUCCCCGUACCCAGCCUCACCACACAAACAGAGCAGGAGGUGGUGUUGUGAAUGUCCCCGUAUCCAGCCUCACCACACAAGACUGGUUUGGAUAUAUCCCUGACCAAUAUGGCUUUAAUUUUCACCCCAUUCUGAGACCGGGUUUGAAACAGCCCCUCUAGUAAUUUUAAAGCUGCAAUAUGUCACUUUUGUUCGACCUGGCCAAUUUCACAUAGAAUAGUGAGUUGUAAGAUCGGUCUAGAGUGGUGAGUUGUAGAUCGGUCUAGAGUGGUGAGUUGUAGAUCGGUCUAGAGUGGUGAGUUGUAGAUCGGUCUAGAGUGGUGAGUUGUAGAUCGGUCUAGAGUGGUGAGUUGUAGAUCGGUCUAGAGUGGUGAGUUGUAGAUCGGUCUAGAGUGGUGAGUUGUAGAUCGGUCUAGAGUGGUGAGUUGUAGAUCGGUCUAGAGUGGUGAGUUGUAGAUCGGUCUAGAGUGGUGAGUUGUAGAUCGGUCUAGAGUGGUGAGUUGUAGAUCGGUCUAGAGUGGUGAGUUGUAGAUCUGUCUAG
This is a long non-coding RNA of Oncorhynchus keta (chum salmon), 1295 nucleotides long. RefSeq lists it as uncharacterized. Lineage: Eukaryota; Metazoa; Chordata; Actinopteri; Salmoniformes; Salmonidae. The transcript has 3 exons. The record is from RefSeq and is a predicted model, not a curated record.